CAUAGCGACUAUCGUGGCAUAUCAAUAAGCGGAGGAAAAGAAACUAACAAGGAUUCCCUUAGUAACGGCGAGUGAAGCGGGAAGAGCUCAAAUUUGAAAUCUUCAAGGUUUUACCUUGACGAAUUGUAGUUUAAAGAAGUGUUUUCUGUUGGAGUUUUGGUAAAAGUUCUUUGGAAUAGGACAUCAUAGAGGGUGAGAAUCCCGUAUUUGACCAUUACUUUCCAGCUGUGUGAUACACUUUCAAAGAGUCGGAUUGUUUGGGAAUGCAGUCCAAAAUGGGUGGUAAAUUUCAUCUAAAGCUAAAUAUUGGCGAGAGACCGAUAGCGAACAAGUACCGUGAGGGAAAGAUGAAAAGAACUUUGAAAAGAGAGUUAAACAGUACGUGAAAUUGUCAAAAGGGAAGCGUUUGACACCAGUGUUGUUUUCUCGAAAAUCAAUUAAAAAUGAUGGGAUUUUGUGUUGUAUUGACUUUAUCAGCUUUCUGCACUUUUUUCUUAUCUUUUUUAAUGCACUUUUCGUUUAACAAGUCAACAUCAAUUUCUUUUGUUGUAAAAGAGUCAUUGGAAGGUGGCUUUUUCUUCGGAAAAAGUGUUUAUAGCCUUUGGCUUCUGCAAUCGGAGAGAUUGAGGUCUGCAGCGUAGAUCCUUCGGGGUUAGAUACAUUUGUGCUAAGCUAUAGUUCUUUAUAGACAACUUGUUGACUAUAAUCAAUCCUGUAACUUACUCGCUUAUGCUAUUUUACCUACGCUUAGGAUGUUGAUAGUCACAGCGUGUAC
Molecule: ribosomal RNA, 775 nt
Filed under: uncultured Neocallimastigales
Lineage: Eukaryota; Fungi; Neocallimastigomycota; Neocallimastigomycetes; Neocallimastigales
Description: partial large subunit ribosomal RNA
Rfam family: Eukaryotic large subunit ribosomal RNA (bases 5-694)
Source: RNAcentral